CCUUUGCUGGUACCUACACAUGUAAAGCGUCUAAUGAACUCGGUCAGGCAGCGUGCAGCGUAACCCUCAGAAUGACCUAUGGAGGAACUGCAUGUGAUUGGCGGAGUGUUGAUGGGAAUCUUUCUCGUUCUGCUGUUUGAUUGGGGUAAUGGUCAUCUUAGUCACCUGGAGCAGGAAGAAGCAUGUCCAGAAAACAUAUGCACAUGAGCAUAGUCAGGUGAAAAACAAUUCAGCACUUCAACAGCAGAGCGGAGGGAACCUACUACCCAUUCAGUCGGGUACUGAAGACCAAUCGGACUUCAAAGUGUCUCACUUUAGUCCAGUUGUUUAGCCUCCUCAGAUGCUUCUUUUGCAUCUGUCUCUGCUGGUUUAAUCUCUGAGCCUACAA
Long non-coding RNA from Sinocyclocheilus rhinocerous, 388 nucleotides. RefSeq lists it as uncharacterized. The record is from RefSeq and is a predicted model, not a curated record. Lineage: Eukaryota; Metazoa; Chordata; Actinopteri; Cypriniformes; Cyprinidae. The transcript has 3 exons.